AACCACACCCUCAAAAAGCUUCCUCUUCCCACGAGGCGAUUCCCUCUCCUCCUUCACCCUAACACCUACAUUGCCAACUCUUGAUCUCAACCUAGAACUCCAAGCCCCACCAGAACCUUUAUUUUCCCGCCCUAAUCUCCUAGCACCCUCCACAAUACGACCAAUUCCACCCUUCCCCACUUUCCUCCUUUUCUUCGGCGGAGCUGGAGAAGCGUCGAGCAGCAUUGGGGCACGGCGAACCCGGGAGCUUCGACGAACCCCAGCAU
Molecule: unclassified non-coding RNA, 266 nt
Filed under: uncultured bacterium
Lineage: Bacteria
Description: contains 16S-23S intergenic spacer region
Source: RNAcentral